RNAcentral lists this ribosomal RNA (253 nucleotides) under uncultured bacterium. Its description in RNAcentral is "partial 16S ribosomal RNA". It matches the Rfam family "Bacterial small subunit ribosomal RNA", at positions 524 to 776 of the family's 1533-position model. The record is from RNAcentral.
UACGAAGGGGGCGAGCGUUGUUCGGAAUUACUGGGCGUAAAGGGCGCGUAGGCGGCGACUCAAGUUAGAUGUGAAAGUCCUGGGCUUAACCUGGGGACUGCAUUUGAUACGGGCAGACUAGAGUGUGGUAGGGGAGAUCGGAAUUCCUGGUGUAGCGGUGAAAUGCGCAGAUAUCAGGAGGAACACCGGUGGCGAAGGCGGUUCUCUGGGCAUUACCUGACGCUGAGGAGCGAAAGUGUGGGGAGCGAACAGG